ACCCAGUGCCAGAACAUCUAUUCCAAGCUUACACUGUGACAUUCUUUAAAUUUACUUACGCUGCCCUGGCAUCUAGGCCCUCCUAGAUUCUCUGCAGUCAGAGUGACUUGCUCAGCCAUCAUGAAAGAAGGUUCCUCCUGCAGCGGAUGGGAACAAAUACAGAGACCCACAGCCAGACAUGCAGAGAAUAGGAGAUCCUAGAACAUGGAACCCUAACUGGGGUGUCUCUAUGAAAUCCCUCCUCUCAGGGCUCAGGGAACCCUGUGGAAGAGGAGGCAGAAAGAAUAUAAGAUCCGAAGGGGAUGGAGGACACCAAAGAAAACAAGGCCCUCUGAAUCAACAUGAUCAAAGCUUAUAUGAACUCACAGAGACUGAAGCAGCAUGCACUGGAUGAACAGGAGUCUGCACCAGUUCCCUGAGCAGCUGGUCUGAAUGUCAUAGCACCCUCAUCUGUUCCAUGAGAGCCCAAAUGCCUUCUUGAGAACUAUGAAAAUAGCAGCUGAGAACAAGAGGAAGAAAGCUGCUCAGUGUUUUACAGCAUUAGCUCGAAGCGGAGAGAUUGCACCCAUUGGGAGUCUCAGAAGUUACAUCCAUAAAGUCUCACCAGCAUGAUUGCCAAAACAUGAGCUGAACAAAGACAACACCAAUAGACAUGGCAGUGUGGACAGGGGAAAGAUUGUGAGACCUCAACCCGACAGAAAGAACUACUGGCAACUACGGAACGCGUGUGAAGCGAAAGUGUUUCCAACUGUGGAUGGGGACAAGAGCUUGAAGAUGCAGUAGGAGGCGUGGAGGAAAGAAGGUGGCAUUGUGAAGGAAGAAGACCUCUUGGGGAAGCAGGCACAGGGCACCAAGAGCAGUUGUACUGUGGAAGGGGCUGGAUUUUGGCAAGAUAAAUGCGGCCUGGAUGAAAAUGGCGUGGGUUGUUGUUAAGAGGAGGUGUGGGAGGCUUGAAGAAAUGUUAGAGAUGGCUGCUGCGGAAAGCAAGAAGGCUGAAGGAGGAGGAAAGAAAAAAAACAGCAUCAGGCACCCAGUCUACGGUGAGUGCCAGGAACCAUGGCACCAACGCUUCUUUCUUCUCUUUCUUCCAGAAGUGUCCAAGACCUGAGCCAAGGUGAGGAGAGAGCAGGCAUGGUAGGCAUUUCUGGCUGUGUGUGAGUGGAAUGCAAUUGGAGAAGGCAGCUGGGAACCCUGGAGAGGUGGCUGUGCAACGGACCAGGCAUUUGUUCAGAAGUCUUUGUUCUUAUCAAAAACUAUCCUUAAAAGAGAACAAAUCGUCAUCUGCUCAUAUA
This is a non-coding RNA of Peromyscus maniculatus bairdii (prairie deer mouse), 1292 nucleotides long. Lineage: Eukaryota; Metazoa; Chordata; Mammalia; Rodentia; Cricetidae. The record is from RefSeq and is a predicted model, not a curated record.